This 2680-nucleotide ribosomal RNA is filed under the name human gut metagenome. Its description in RNAcentral is "bacterial LSU rRNA". It matches the Rfam family "Bacterial large subunit ribosomal RNA", at positions 14 to 2614 of the family's 2925-position model. The record is from RNAcentral.
AGAGCUAAUGGAGAAUGCCUUGGUACUGACAGCCGACGAAGGACGUGUAAAGCUGCGAUAAGCUACGGGGAGUUGCUAAAAGACCUUGAUCCGUAGAAAUCCGAAUGGGGAAACCCUGCAAGGUUAAAACCUUGUAAUCCACAUAUGAAUACAUAGUAUGUGCGAAGGAAAGCCUGUGAACUGAAACAUCUUAGUAACAGGACGAAAAGAAAAUAAAUCAAUGAUUCCGAAAGUAGCGGCGAGCGAAAUUGGAAGAGCCUAAACAGUAUGUACGUGAUAGACUGCAAUCGUUGUGCAUAUUGAGUUGUGGGACUUACGGUAUAAUUUGCAGAUUAUACAAAGAGUUACAAAAUUAUUUAUUAGCUAAAUCCAACUGGGAAGUUGAGCCAUAGCGGGUGAUAGCCCCUUAAGCGACAAUAAAUAAUCUCUUGUAAGUAUCCCGAGUAAGGCGGGGCACGUGAAACCCUGUCUGAAUCCACCGGGACCAUCCGGUAAGGCUAAAUACUAGUCAGUGACCGAUAGUGAACGAGUACAGUGAUGGAAAGGCGAAAAGAACAGUGAGAAGCUGAGUGAAAUAGACCCUGAAACCGUUAGCUUACAAUCAGUUAGAGCCCUAUAAAUAGGGUGAUAGCGUGCCUGUUGAAGAAUGAGCCGGCGAGUUAUUUUAUGUUGCAAGGUUAAGGAGUUAACAUCCGGAGCCCCAGCGAAAGCGAGUUUGAAAAGAGCGUUAAGUAACAUGAAAUAGACCCGAACCUUGGUGAUCUAACCUUGACCAGGAUGAAGCGUGGGUAACACUACGUGGAGGUCCGAACCGACUGAUGUUGAAAAAUCAGCGGAUGAGUUGAGGUUAGGGGUGAAAUGCCAAUCGAACCAAGAGCUAGCUGGUUCUCCCCGAAAUGCGUUUAGGCACAGCGUCAGAAUUAUCUUACAGGAGGUAGAGCACUGGUUUUGUGCGGGCGGCGAAAUGCUGUACCAAACAAUGUCAAACUCCGAAUGCCUGUAAAGUUACUAUCUGGCAGUGAGGCUACGAGUGAUAAGAUCCGUGGCCAAGAGGGAAACAGCCCAGAACGCCAGUUAAGGUCCCUAAUAUAUGCUAAGUGGUUAAGGAGGUAGAGUUGCAUUGACAACCAGGAGGUUGGCUUAGAAGCAGCCAUCCCUUGAAAGAGUGCGUAAUAGCUCACUGGUCAAGCGACUCCGCGCCGAAAAUACACCGGGACUCAAGCAUAUAACCGAAGCUGCGUCAUUUGAGUUUACUCAGAUGGGUAGGGGAGCGUUCUGUUGUAGGACGAAGUAAGAUCGAAAGGACUUAUGGACGAAGCAGAAGUGAGAAUGUCGGCAUAAGUAGCGAAAACAUUGGUGAGAAUCCAAUGCACCGUAAACCUAAGGUUUCCCCUGGCAGGCUCGUCCGCAGGGGGUUAGUCGGAACCUAAGAUGAGGCCGAAAGGCGUAGUCGAUGGACAUCAGGUUGAUAUUCCUGAACUAUCUGGUAAUCGUUAUCAGAUGCGGAGGGACGCAGGAGGAUAGGCACGCAGCCGACUGGAAGAGGCUGUUUAAGCGUGUAGCUAGUUUGAGUAGGAAAAUCCGCUCAGGCGUUAUGACGUGAGGCGUAAUGAGGAGAGUCUACGGACUCGAAGGUGUUGACUCCACACUGCCAAGAAAAACUUCGCACUCGAGAUUAUCCGGUAUCCGUACCGUAAACCGCCACAGGUAGGUUAGUAGAACAUACUAAGGUGCGCGAGACAACUCUCGCUAAGGAACUCGGCAAAAUCACCUCGUAACUUCGGGAGAAGAGGUACCCUGGUAGAGUGAAGCGAUUUACUCGUGGAGCUUGAUAGGGUCGCAGUGAAUUGGCCCAUGCGACUGUUUACCAAAAACACAGGUCUCUGCUAAGUCGAACAAGACGAUGUAUAGGGGCUGACGCCUGCCCGGUGUCGGAAGGUUACGUGGAAGGGUUAGUAGUAAUACGAAGCUCUGAAACUAAGCCCCGAUGAACGGCGGCCGUAACUAUAACGGUCCUAAGGUAGCGAAAUUCCUUGUCAGGUAAAUUCUGACCCGCACGAAUGGCGUAAUGAUUUGGGAACUGUCUCAACAAGAGACCCGGCGAAAUUGUAGUAUACGUGAAGAUGCGUAUUAACCUGCGACUGGACGGAAAGACCCCGUAGAGCUUUACUGUAGCUUGGUAUUGAAUUUCGGCAAUGAAUGUACAGGAUAGGUGGGAGACUUGGAAGCCUCGGCGUCAGCUGAGGUGGAGUCACCCUUGGGAUACCACCCUUUUAUUGCUGGGGUUCUAACGGUGUGCCGUUAUCCGGGCACCGGACAUUGCCAGGUGGGCAGUUUGACUGGGGCGGUCGCCUCCCAAAAAGUAACGGAGGCGCCCAAAGGUUCCCUCAGAAUGGUUGGAAAUCAUUCGCAGAGUGCAAAGGCAGAAGGGAGCUUGACUGCGAGACAGACAUGUCGAGCAGAUACGAAAGUAGGGCUUAGUGAUCCGGCGGUAGAGUAUGGAAUUGCCGUCGCUUAACGGAUAAAAGUUACCUCGGGGAUAACAGGCUUAUUCCCCCCAAGAGUUCACAUCGACGGGGGAGUUUGGCACCUCGAUGUCGGCUCGUCACAUCCUGGGGCUGUAGUAGGUCCCAAGGGUUCGGCUGUUCGCCGAUUAAAGUGGCACGCGAGCUGGGUUCAG